CCUACGGGAGGCAGCAGUAGGGAAUUUUCGUCAAUGGGCGCAAGCCUGAACGAGCGAUGCCGCGUGAGUGAAGAAGGCCUUCGGGUCGUAAAGCUCUGUUGCGGGGGAAAAAAGGCAGCAUCAGGAAAUGGGUGCUGACUGCUGGUGCCCCGCCAGAAAGUCACGGCUAACUACGUGCCAGCAGCCGCGGUAAUACGGAGGUGGCGAGCGUGAUCCGGAAUGAUUGGGCGUAAAGGGCGCGCAGGCGUCCCUGCAAGCCUGGAGUGAAACGCAUGAGCUCAACUCAUGCAUGGCGUUGGAAACUGGAGGACUGGAGAGCAGGGGAGGGCGGUGGAACUGCAUGUGUAGCGGUAAAAGGCGUAGAUAUAUGGA
This 372-nucleotide ribosomal RNA is filed under the name uncultured bacterium. RNAcentral's name for it is "partial 16S ribosomal RNA". It matches the Rfam family "Bacterial small subunit ribosomal RNA", at positions 338 to 702 of the family's 1533-position model. The record is from RNAcentral.